Acomys russatus (golden spiny mouse) is the source of this 492-nucleotide long non-coding RNA. RefSeq lists it as uncharacterized. The transcript has 3 exons. NCBI's taxonomy places the organism in Eukaryota, Metazoa, Chordata, Mammalia, Rodentia, Muridae. The record is from RefSeq and is a predicted model, not a curated record.
AGAUGCAGAGUGCAGGAGCAGCUGCCUUAGGUGCAGAGUGCAGGAGCAGCUGCCUUAGAUGCAGAGUGCAGGAGCAGCUGCCUUAGAUCCAGAGUGCAGGAGCAGCUGCCUUAGAUCCAGAGUGCAGGAGCAGCUGCCUUAGGUGCAGAGUGCAGGAGCAGCUGCCUUAGAUGCAGAGUGCAGGAGCAGCUGCCUUAGAUGCAGAGUGCAGGAGCAGCUGCCUUAGAUGCAGAGUGCAGGAGCAGCUGCCUUAGAUCCAGAGUGCAGGAGCAGCUGCCUUAGAUGCAGAGUAAAGAUGUGGUCUAAGGGACACCAUAGUGCGAGAUGUUAAACUGCCCUGAUGAUUCGUGGGGAAAUUGAAGGUUUAAAAAAAAAUACCUAAAAAGCUUUGCUGCUGUAUGCAAUUGACUUAUCAACUACCAAUAUUUAGGAUUAACAACAACUCUGACUAUAUCACCACUGCAUGUUUCCAAAUUGUCCAGGUCACUGUAA